AUACGUAUCCUUUUUUAUGCGUUACAGUUGGAUAUUUCUCACAUAUCGGUUGUUUUUUUUUUAUAUAACGUUUCCAAUUUAUGACUAGAAUAUGAUUUUCUAGAUUCUGGCAGUGUAGCUUUUCUCUAAACUAUCUGGAUUUUAAAAAAUCACCAUAAAUAAUCUACUAAGAAUUUUUGGAUCAUUAUUAUCUUUGCGUGUAGCUAACUUCCAGAGUUAUUUUUAGACAUAAAUAUCAUCUCUUAACUCAUUAUAUAUCAAGAGAUAUAGAUUUUACAAAAUCAGGACAACCUAGUCAUUUUUUUGGAAAUUAUUCUAGAUUUUGUUCUAUGUUUUUCUUGUUUGAUUUCUUGAUUUCUCUUGUCUGAUUCUUGUUUAUACAAGUUUAAUCCAUCACAAAUAAGCAUAAACAUGCCCUCUUUCUAUAAACUUCAUAAAACAUUAACAACCAUACAUGAAAAUCAAAUGAUUAAUCAAGAUUUUAAAUAUACAUCAACUAGGUGCUUAUUUUAAUUUUUUAUCCUUUCAUGACUUCCCUUUUCUUCCUCUUUUUCUCCUCUCCAUACUCAACUCAACCGUCUCUCUUAAUCACCAUGUGACUGCCGAGAGUCUCAUAGAGAAAUGGCCUAGCUUACUUACUUUACUUCCUUUUUAAUUAUAAGCAUGAGUUGAUAAGUCCAAACUAAAAAAUGAUCUUUAGUCAAAAAUGUCAAAGCUUCUCAAGGAAGCUACGUCCCCCUUAACCAUAUCUCCAACCGGGACUCAACAUGCUGGAAAUUUCCAGAAUAAGCUAUCUUUUUCCUUUUGUUCAAUUAUUUGAAAUUUUGAUCCACUUUUUGUCCUUUUGACAUAAAAAAUCAACUUUUCAUGUUUACAAUCGUUUCCUACUAAAGUUGAUAUCCUGAUCAUCAUGUCGAUGUCUGUUUCUUCAAAUUCAUCUCCAAACUCUAAAUUUGAUUUUUCCUCAUAAAUGUCAACUGUUGUCUUUUACCAAAAAAUAAAUCCCAACACCAUAUUGUGUUUGUUGUCUUCACCUACCAAAUUUGACGUUCUAGAUUCAACUCAAAUUCCAUCUAGAACUCUAAUUUGAGUUUUGAACUGUAUAUCUUUCUUUGUUCCAUCCCCUUCUAACCAUAUAUAUAGCUCCCUCACAUAUGUAUCCUUUUUUACGCGUUACAGUUGGAUAUUUCUCGCAUAUCAGUUGUUUUUCUUUGAUAUACCGUUUUCCAAUUUAUGACUUUAAAUGAAUUUCAAUUUUCAUUUCUUAUUGAACUUUAAAUUUUUCAUGCAUAAUUCUUAUUUUCAUUUGUAAUCGCAUUUAUAAUUAUUGAAACUUAUGUUACGUUUGGAUUGAAGGAAUAAAAUGGAGAGUGAAAUGAUUCAUUAUGUUCUAGUUGGAAUGAGUUAUUUCAUACUCUCCAUCUUCCAAAGAAUAAAAUUCAUAAAUUUGAGAGGAAUAAGAAUGGUUCAAUCGAUAAUUCCAAUCGCAACCAAACACAAAUUUUUUUCAUUCUAUUCUCACCUUCAUUUCUCCAAUCCAAACGUAGCAUUAGAGUAUUACAACCUUUCUUUAUUUUUAACGUUUUAGUUUUUCAAUAUAGUCAUUUAUGACACUAAAUAAAAUUAGAUUUUUAUUUCAUUGAAAUUUCAGUUACAAUGUUUUAUUCAUAUUUUUAAAUCUUGUUUACAUUUCUUGAAAACUUCGGGUAUUACAUACUAACAAAUCAAGGGUCUGAAUUAUGAAAUAGAUCGUUACAAAUAGAUCCAAAAUUAUGAAAAUUAGAAGGAUAGGCCGAAACGACAUUUUGAUGUGAAAUGAUCAAAAUGUCACUAAAAGAUUAAAAUUGUAAUUCAGUAAAUACGCACACCUAGAGGGAGGGGAGGGGAGGGGAGGGGGGGGGGGUGAAUAGGUGUUUAAAUUAAAAAUGAUAAACGGUGAAAACUUUUUUGAAAUUUUCUGCUACAGGUUAAAUUCAGACAGCUACACCUGUCUGCUUUAGUGUCUGCUUUAACUUAUGUUCUUUGUUCAAUAUUAUCAGAUAGCUAUACCUGUCUGCUUUAGUGUCUGGAUUCGUAUUAAUAAAGCAAAAUACCCAAAAAUUAAGCAACAGAAAGGAGAAGUGCAGAAACGUAAAGAUACCAAGAUUUUUUUACGUGUUUCAGCCCCUAUCCUCUAUCUAGUAGCCCAAUUCACGUCCAAUCUCAACUAGGAUUGGAGACUCUCUUUAUUAUAAUUUAAACCUCAAUACAAAAGAUAACUCCCUGUUACAAAGAAGCCUCAAAUCUGAUGUUGGACAGCUAUGCCCCCUUUUUGCACCUCUGCAACUUGUACACCUCUGCACCACUUCUCACCUCUGAGACCCUUGAAACCUUCUAUGAACAGACUAAUUAAAUAAGAAACCUCAAGCCAAAACUAUGCUUAAGUUCAGUUUAUAAAGAAUGAGUAAAAUAAAUUUCCAGCACAAAAGAAUAUAAUAGACUACAAUAAAUGGCUGAAAUAAAGCAAUUGAAGUGCUCUGAUGUAGUAUUUCAACUUGAUUGCAGGUUCAGGAGAUGUUCUUGUUCAGCUGAAGAGAAGGAGUAUAUAUAACGAGACAAGCAACGACUAUAAAAGAUGUUAGCUAAGAAAACUCAGUCCCGUUAGAAACCAUCCAUGAUUUCAGCAGCUUUGUAUAACCAAAAAGAUAAUAUGUUGUGACGCCCCCAAAUCCAGGUUCUCUAACCUCAGAUUCAGUGCUCAUGAUCCUAUCAUCAUCAUAAGCAUUCUAUAACUAUUUCGAAAUAAUAAACAUACAUUGUUCAUUAUACAAAAGUCUCAAAACAUGGUCCCAAGGUCUCUCUAACCUUAACUUUAAAUACAC
This 2861-nucleotide long non-coding RNA is filed under the name Panax ginseng (ginseng). RNAcentral's name for it is "long non-coding RNA (PGIN_LNC006868)". Lineage: Eukaryota; Viridiplantae; Streptophyta; Magnoliopsida; Apiales; Araliaceae. The record is from RNAcentral.